Molecule: ribosomal RNA, 712 nt
Filed under: uncultured Chitinophagaceae bacterium
Lineage: Bacteria; Pseudomonadati; Bacteroidota; Chitinophagia; Chitinophagales; Chitinophagaceae
Description: bacterial SSU rRNA
Rfam family: Bacterial small subunit ribosomal RNA
Source: RNAcentral
ACCGGCAAACGGGUGCGGAACACGUACACAACCUUCCUUAAGGUGGGGGAUAGCCCAGAGAAAUUUGGAUUAAUACCUCAUAGAAUAUUGGAGCUGCAUGGCUUUGAUAUUAAAGAUUUAUCGCCAUAAGAUGGGUGUGCGUAUGAUUAGGUAGUUGGUUGAGGUAACGGCUCACCAAGCCUUCGAUCAUUAACUGGUGUGAGAGCACGACCAGUCACACGGGCACUGAGACACGGGCCCGACUCCUACGGGAGGCAGCAGUAAGGAAUAUUGGUCAAUGGACGCAAGUCUGAACCAGCCAUGCCGCGUGAAGGAUGACUGCCCUCUGGGUUGUAAACUUCUUUUAUCUGGGACGAAAAAGGGCCAUUCUUGGUCAACUGACGGUACCAGAGGAAUAAGCACCGGCUAACUCCGUGCCAGCAGCCGCGGUAAUACGGAGGGUGCAAGCGUUAUCCGGAUUUACUGGGUUUAAAGGGAGCGCAGGCGGAUUAGUAAGUCAGUGGUGAAAGCCUUGAGCUUAACUCGAGAACUGCCAUUGAUACUAUUAGUCUUGAAUGUUGUUGAGGUUUGCGGAAUGGGUCAUGUAGCGGUGAAAUGCAUAGAUAUGACCCGGAACACCUAUUGCGAAGGCAGCAGGCUAAACAAAUAUUGACGCUGAGGCUCGAAAGCGUGGGGAUCAAACAGGAUUAGAUACCCUGGUAGUCCACGCCCU